CAGAGAUAAGAUUCAGUGUUUUGCAAGAAUGAAUGGUGGAGAAAGAAGCUGCGGGAUAUAAUGGAUCUAACUGGCCAGAGCGAGGGUGGUGAUGUUUAUUUUGGCAUGGCUUUUUUUCUCUCGCUCCCUUUCAUUUUUUUUGUCUUUUUUAAUCUUUCGUUCUCGGUUUUAUCUUUCUGAAGAAUUUUCACACUUUCACAUGUCUGCCUUUUCAUUCCUCUCUCAAAGCUGCCAGUCUCCGAGUACAGAGAGCCAGCUAUCGCCUCUCAAGUAUGCUUUCAGGGACCCGCAUGGGUGUUUUCAUUCAUCUUUUAUUUUUCCUUUGUCAGAUUUGGUGCUGUUAAAUGAUACAGUCUGUUUCUUAUAGAGAGAAAAUCAGAAAUAUAUCGAGGUCCUAAUUAGCUAGCUUGUUUCCCCUCUUCAGUUAGGCCCUUAGAAUAUUUACUGCUCUGUUUAUGGAUAAAAAUGGAUCCAAAAUUAUGAGAGUAAACAUUACUUGUGAUCACAAACUCUAAAUUACUGUACAAUUUCAGUCUAACCAUGUUGUGUAAAUAUUGAAUAUUCUGUGGCCUUAAGAGCACAGAAUAUUAUAAAUGUAUUCAUUAAAUUACAGGCAGAUUUUAAGAAAUGCAACCAUAUUUCCAUUAAACAAUCGAAUGGAAAAGACACCUAUAGUAUAUUGUGCCAGUGCCACGUGCAGAGACCCGGUAUAGUGGGCCUGAUAAUACCUGAGGUGUUGAUCAUACCAUGUUCGUGCCAAGUGAAACUGACAGGAGGCGACGGUAAUCCCUGCUCGUCCUGCUGCAGAUUUCAAAUUUAAUCUCAGAUUAAUGUCCAGGAAAUGUCCUCGCGAGGCGAUCGCACACCAGGGCAGAUGUUGCAGCGUGUUAAAUCAUGCGUUGGCACUAGCACACAGAUAAACGAGCGCUCACGUUCACCAGCUGUUUUUUUUUUCUUUUCUUUUUUUAAACUGGACACCUGAGAGUAAAAAAAAAAAAUCAAUGUCCAAGUUCUAACAUAUAUAUUUAUUUAUUUAUUUUCCUGAAGUAGAAAGGAUCUCGGAAUCUUUUCCUUAGCCAGAUAUGCUAGAAUUUGGGUUAAUUCAAUGGUCGGUGUCAUGUCUCUAUGUAGGCAGGCAGGAAGAGGGGACCCAAAAUGCAGGACUCACGGAGGUGGAAGAAACUCAAUAUACACAGCUUUUUUGCUGGGAUGAAGCAGAACAGAAAAACACUAACUAAACUGGGAGUACAGAAUAACUAGACUGGUUGGCAGGCUAGCAAACAGAACACACAGAGGAAGUGAGGGUAAGACACGACACUGAGCAAAGGAAAAC
Long non-coding RNA from Astatotilapia calliptera (eastern happy), 1333 nucleotides. NCBI's taxonomy places the organism in Eukaryota, Metazoa, Chordata, Actinopteri, Cichliformes, Cichlidae. The record is from Ensembl.